RNAcentral lists this ribosomal RNA (429 nucleotides) under Acidobacteriota bacterium. Its description in RNAcentral is "Acidobacteria bacterium partial 16S ribosomal RNA". It matches the Rfam family "Bacterial small subunit ribosomal RNA", at positions 355 to 776 of the family's 1533-position model. Lineage: Bacteria; Pseudomonadati; Acidobacteriota. The record is from RNAcentral.
UGGGGAAUUUUGGACAAUGGGGGAAACCCUGAUCCGGCCAUCCCGCGUGUGCGAUGAAGGCCUUCGGGUUGUAAAGCACUUUUGGCAGGAAAGAAACGUCAUGGGUUAAUACCCCGUGAAACUGGCGGUACCUGCAGAAUAAGCACCGGCUAACUACGUGCCAGCAGCCGCGGUAAUACGUAGGGUGCAAGCGUUAAUCGGAAUUACUGGGCGUAAAGCGUGCGCAGGCGGUUCGGAAAGAAAGAUGUGAAAUCCCAGAGCUCAACUUUGGAACUGCAUUUUUAACUACCGGGCUAGAGUGUGUCAGAGGGAGGUGGAAUUCCGCGUGUAGCAGUGAAAUGCGUAGAUAUGCGGAGGAACACCGAUGGCGAAGGCAGCCUCCUGGGAUAACACUGACGCUCAUGCACGAAAGCGUGGGGAGCAAACAGG